This 497-nucleotide ribosomal RNA is filed under the name uncultured bacterium. RNAcentral's name for it is "partial 16S ribosomal RNA". It matches the Rfam family "Bacterial small subunit ribosomal RNA", at positions 28 to 507 of the family's 1533-position model. The record is from RNAcentral.
GAUGAACGCUGGCGGUGUGCCUAAUACAUGCAAGUCGAGCGACCACACGAGGAGCUUGCUCCUCUGACGUUAGCGGCGGACGGGUGAGUAACACGUGGAUCACCUACUUCUAUUACUGGGAUAACUUCGGGAAACCGCAGCUAAUACUAGCUAAUAUAUUCAACGGCAUGGUUCAAUAGUGCAUGACGGUUUUCCCGUCUCUUUUAGACGGAUCCGGGUGGCAUUAGCUAGUUGGUAAGGUAACGGCUUACCAAGGCGACGAUGCCUAGCCGACCUGAGAGGGUGGACCGGCACACUGGGACUGAGACACGGGCCAAAAUCCUAAGGGAGGCAGCAGGAGGGGAACAUCCGCAAAGGGGGGAAGCCUUACGGAGCAACGCCGCGUGAGGGAUAGAAGGCUUCGGAUCUGAAAACUCAGUUAGUAGGGAAAGACAAGUGGGUAAGUAACAAUGCACUGCUUUAAGGGAACUAAUCAGAGAGCCACGGCUAACUACGUU